AGGGUCCCGCCGCCGCCGUCACAUUUCUCCCCCGCCCAGCCGCUCGAGUGUUGUCCGCGCCGCAGGAGGAGUGGACUGCGAGCACGCUUGUCAUGUCAUCCCCACGCGCCCCACGCAGCUGACCCCCGCCGCCGCCUCCCACGCAGAACGCCGCCGCCGAGCUCCCACGUACACCGUCGCCGCCGGCCAGCGCUCUGCCCCGCCCUCUGUCGAGCUCGCUCGGCCCUCUGCCACCUCACCCCUCCCUCGCCUGCUCCGGCCCGGCCCUCCUCGCGCGCCCGCACGCUCGCGGCCGGCCCGCCAUUGCCGCCCCUGCCCUCCACCGCCGCCCCCAGGCCUCGAGCCGCCGCGUUGUUUGCUCCCUCCCGCUUGCCCCCCCCCCCCCCCACCCGACCAGCUCGACGGCAUGGCUGAGCACCACCGCCGGGUCGUCCCACGGUAGGCGCGGGCGGCCCGCUGCCUGGCCGACCACCUCCAGCCCGAUCCCAUCCUACAGCCCGAGCGGAUGAGGAGAUAGGUUUUCUCUUCUAAAUUGUGAUGAAUGACUACCAAAUUUCCUGCUGUUUCCGAUAUGGUGAUUUAAUUGAUGAAUCCGUAGCUUCAGCAGAAUGCAACAGAGCAACCAUGGGUGGUGUAGGCGCGCACUGUUUCUUGAUGCCAUUGAUUGGCCAAGGUGAAUCUAUCUUCCCCAUCUGAAGAGGGCUGCAUAUGUAAAUGGUGUGUGUUAAAAAAAGAUUAAAUUUUCAGUAACAGAGGAAGUAGAAAUACACAUAUCAUCAUUCAACGAUGCAGGCCAACGCCCCAACGUACCCAGCUCGGUCGUCGUCGAUGCCCCUCACCUCCAUAGUGGACGCCGACCGUCCUAGCGCUGGCCGCUGCCGCCUACCGUACCCAGCUCGCCCUGCCUCCAAGUCGCCGGCCUCCAUGACGCUGUGUUCCCGGAUGCCAUGUUCCAGGAAGAAGAUUCCCUUCCCGCAGCGAGGACGCGGGCGCCCCUCACCCAGCUCGACGGCGUACUUCUCCUCCAAGGCGGUGGGCUACCAUCUCUGCAGACAGAAGCUUGCUAGAUGUUCUCCGGUCAUGCAGCCAUUCAGGAGAAGCAAAACGGUGGAGACUGGAGACUGACGUCAUCAACAUCGGUAUGAAAGCUUACAUAUAUUGAUGAAGGAAUAUAUGGUACAAGUCUCGGAAUGUGGUGAAGCACUUCUUAUGCAUCAUAACAUGUUGUUUCAGAGAGAUUUGAUGUGGUGGUGGACAACAUGAAGAGGCGUGACGAAAUGAAUGACAGUAAGAAGGAUGGCGUGCUACUGGACGCGUUCUUCAUAAUCGUGCAUCUCGACCUUGUCUGAUGCUUUCCGUCCUGUUGUGUUUGAUGCAGGUUUUUUCUCAUAUUAUUGCUCCAGUAAUUAAAUUUGUUUGGUAGAAACUUCACAAGUAACAUUGUAGACAUUAUCCUUUUCUCGUCUUUGAUUGAGUAACUAUGAAUAUAAACAUUCUAUGUACACAUGUUAUUAAAAUGCUGGAAUAUUCAUGUGCAUUAUGCUUA
Molecule: long non-coding RNA, 1546 nt
Organism: Lolium perenne
Lineage: Eukaryota; Viridiplantae; Streptophyta; Magnoliopsida; Poales; Poaceae
Source: RefSeq, a predicted model, not a curated record